UACAGAGACUGCAAGCGUUGUUCGGAUUCAUUGGGCGUAAAGGGUGCGCAGGCGGUGUGUUAAGUCGGAUGUGAAAUCUCACAGCCUAACUGUGAUAGGUCAUUCGAAACUGGCAUGCUAGAGGACUGGAGAGGAGACUGGAAUGGUCGGUGUAGCGGUGAAAUGCGUAGAGAUCGACCAGAACACCGGUGGCGAAGGCGGGUCUCUGGUCCGGUACUGACGCUGAGGCGCGCCAGCGUGGGGAUCAAACAGG
Molecule: ribosomal RNA, 253 nt
Filed under: uncultured bacterium
Lineage: Bacteria
Description: partial 16S ribosomal RNA
Rfam family: Bacterial small subunit ribosomal RNA
Source: RNAcentral